Non-coding RNA from Acanthosepion pharaonis, 87 nucleotides. The record is from the annotation of a GenBank genome assembly. NCBI's taxonomy places the organism in Eukaryota, Metazoa, Mollusca, Cephalopoda, Sepiida, Sepiidae.
GUUCCCGUACGAUCAGCAAAGCUAAUCAACGUCGAGCCUGAUCAGUACCUAGAUGGGUGACCACUUAGGAAUACCAGGUGUUGUAAG